CAAGCGUCCACGCUCGGGGUGUGCGGCGGGCGCCCCAGUCCGCUCCCUGCCGGUGCCCGCACUUCCGAGCCCGGGCGCACCUACCUCUUCCUCCUGCAGGAACAAAAGUGUAACCUGGCAAGAAAUAAACCAAGAGUCUGUGGAAACUACAACCGAAGAUAUUCAGAAGCAAGGCUACAAUUUAUCUGGGGAAACUUUGUUUUGAUGCAUGGAUUGUGUUGAUUAGCGGCCCUUCCCACUGCCAGCAUUUCCCUGUUACAUGACGAACCACGAGGGGGCAAUAUCUUCCUGAGCAGUAGCUGAGUGGUGGUCUUCGACCCCUGUGCUGGCCAGUAAUCCCAGGACUUUGCUCUCCUUGGCCAUUCUUGCCUGUUAUUGAACGCACUCACAGAAAGGCAUUGUUUGGCUGGAGCUUGGCAGGGGCCCAAGAAGAAUGACAGUUAAUCUAGUCCUUGAUGGUUCCAGUCAGACCCCACUUAAAAGCCAAACUGGGACUUUGUCCAUUGUUAAGUCAGAAACCAGGGGCCAGGGAUUUAGCUCAGUGGUUUCGCCACCUGCUGAGCAAGCACAAGGACCUGAGUUCGAUCCCCGGUACCAAAAAAAAAAAAAAAGUCAGAAACCUCUGGGAUAAGAAACAAAAGUAAGUUCCAUUACAGGAGCCUUGUCUGGUUUGUUCAUUGUGUUCUCACCAUCUAGACAAUGCCUAACACAUAGUAGGUACUCAAUUACUUAUAAUGAAUGAGCACAUUAAGUCUUACUUAGCAGUUACUUUUUCUGGGGCUUGAAUGACAUUAUCGGAUUUAUUCAGGAUCUGGGAGGAAAGAAUGAAUUAGUACAGGUGUCUUAGAAUGAAUGGAGAGGCACAGAACGUCACUAGAGAGAGUCAGAGCAGUGGUCAUUAUUCUGCAGGGGGCAGGGCCUAAAAGACCUUAAACAAAAUGGGACAGUUGAUGAGAUUUCAAGAAAUAAAAGGGAAACUCACAUCAGUCUAUUGACACACCAGCCAGUUGAGAAGCUAGCAGGGUUUCCUAAUGUCUAUAGUUGGGAGGGAGAGUGCAGCAUGUUUUCAGAGUGUAAGGCUGGCAUAAUAUGCUGGAAUGAAAGGGAUUUGUUUCCUGUCAUUUCUGCAAAGAAUGGUUUAGACUUAUUUGGAAGAAAAGUCAAAUAAUGUAUAACCAACAAAACCUAAGAAAAAUCUGUAAACAGAUCUUCAUUAUUUAUAAAACCUGUGACUUGAGUAUGUAUGUGGGGUGUGUGUAUGUGUGUGCAUGCACACAUGCGUGUGGUGGGAGGGAAGAAUGUACAUUCACUCAGGCUAUAAAUAAUCAUUAUGACUUGUUUACUACUUCAAAGAAAGAAAGUUUCAAAAGUGAGAUCUCCUCAGUAGCAAUAGUUUCCAGGCAUAGUAAGAACUGUAAGACAACAAAGAGAUUUUAUAUCCUGGAAAAAUUGGGCUAAUGACCAAGAAACAUCUGCCCUCUCCCCUGCCCACUGCCUUACCAUAUUUCUGUCUGACCUACAAGGUUACAUGCCAGAUUCAAGGGGAAAUAUCAUAUGCACCUGUAGUUUUUAUUGCUCAUCACUGUUUCUCUGGCACGGUUCCUUUUGAGGCUUGCAUUGAGAAAUCCAAACCCAUAAUUAUGUCUUAAAUGUUUGUCUCUGGGAAUUUUAGACAUUAAAAGGCUAUUUUGAGGCUA
This is a long non-coding RNA of Heterocephalus glaber (naked mole-rat), 1697 nucleotides long. RefSeq lists it as uncharacterized. The record is from RefSeq and is a predicted model, not a curated record. NCBI's taxonomy places the organism in Eukaryota, Metazoa, Chordata, Mammalia, Rodentia, Bathyergidae.